GCUCAAACUUGCUGGAGACGGCCUGUUACGAAUCAAGGCCUCUCCAACUCCAAACAACAUGGCUUCACAGGCGAGAGCGAUGCAUACGAAAGAUCUGCCUGGACUGAUAAAUUCUGGGGCCGCGAAGAAAGGGAAACAUGUGCCUGUGCAGCAAGAGGCAUCUUCUACUGCAUCUAAAGCUAAAGCGCCAAGUACUGCCCCACCGCCAACGCUUAACAGCAAAAAUGGAAAGCCAGCCAACCCAGGCGGCAAGGCUCCAAAGCGGUGAAUACCGGAUUCACACAUACAUUUUAAAACUCUCAUGUGGAUUGAUAAUGAUCUGGACAUCAUUUGGCGUGCUUUGUCUAUGAAAUAAUACAUAUACCAAAGACUCUAAUAGUAUGUAAGAAGUUAAGAGGUGGAAAAGAAAUAUGGAUCGAUCUAUUGCAUGUUUGUAGUUUGUACGUCCUUGGUGGAUUUUGUCACUGUCCUAAGUUCAUGUAUUGGUAUUGUAUUGAAUUCACAUCUAUUAUUAAAUUUGGAUUGUAUUGAG
Triticum aestivum (bread wheat) is the source of this 532-nucleotide long non-coding RNA. RefSeq lists it as uncharacterized. NCBI's taxonomy places the organism in Eukaryota, Viridiplantae, Streptophyta, Magnoliopsida, Poales, Poaceae. The record is from RefSeq and is a predicted model, not a curated record. The transcript is spliced from 5 exons.